Molecule: ribosomal RNA, 212 nt
Filed under: uncultured Ehrlichia sp.
Lineage: Bacteria; Pseudomonadati; Pseudomonadota; Alphaproteobacteria; Rickettsiales; Anaplasmataceae
Description: partial 16S ribosomal RNA
Rfam family: Bacterial small subunit ribosomal RNA
Source: RNAcentral
UGAGGAUUUUAUCUUUGUAUUGUAGCUAAGGCGUUAAGCACUCCGCCUGGGGACUACGGUCGCAAGACUAAAGCUCAAAGGAAUUGACGGGGACCCGCACAAGCGGUGGAGUAUGUGGUUUAAUUCGAUGCUACGCGAAAAACCUUACCACUUUUUGACAUGAAGGUCGUAUUCCUUCUAACAGGGGGAGUCAGUUCGGCUGGACCUUACAA